Ornithorhynchus anatinus (platypus) is the source of this 84-nucleotide non-coding RNA. NCBI's taxonomy places the organism in Eukaryota, Metazoa, Chordata, Mammalia, Monotremata, Ornithorhynchidae. The record is from Rfam.
GUCCAGAAGACAAUGAUGUGUGAUUUCCAAGCACAUAUCCGAUUUCUCCAUGUGGAAAUCCAACCUCGACUGAGUUUUCUGGCC